CUACCCUUGACAUGUACGGAAGUCUCCAGAGAUGGAGUCGUGCCCGAAAGGGAACCGUAACACAGGUGCUGCAUGGCUGUCGUCAGCUCGUGUCGUGAAAUGUUGGGUUAAGUCCCGUAACGAGCGCAACCCUUGCCAUUAGUUGCUACAUUCAGUUGAGCACUCUAAUGGGACUGCCGGUGACAAACCGGAGGAAGGUGGGGAUGACGUCAAGUCCUCAUGGCCCUUAUGGGUAGGGCUACACACGUCAUACAAUGGCGGAUACAGAGGGUUGCCAACCCGCGAGGGGGAGCUAAUCUCAGAAAGUCCGUCGUAGUCCGGAUUGCAGUCUGCAACUCGACUGCAUGAAGUCGGAAUCGCUAGUAAUCGCGGAUCAGCAUGUCGCGGUGAAUACGUUCCC
Molecule: ribosomal RNA, 400 nt
Filed under: uncultured bacterium
Lineage: Bacteria
Description: bacterial SSU rRNA
Rfam family: Bacterial small subunit ribosomal RNA
Source: RNAcentral